Molecule: long non-coding RNA, 649 nt
Organism: Junco hyemalis (dark-eyed junco)
Lineage: Eukaryota; Metazoa; Chordata; Aves; Passeriformes; Passerellidae
Source: Ensembl
GGCAGGAUCCAGAGUCAUAUUUGUGUCUAAAGUGUAGGAUAUAAUGAUGCCUUGAACCUAAUUGUCCUGCUUGACUACAUGCAUUUAUAUCCACACAUUUAAUGGAUAUAAUAGCUUAUUUACCAGUUUUUAAUGAGCUCAUUUCUACUCAGCUCCAGUCCUUGCAAGGGUGAUGUAUGGGGACAACAGAAUCAGUAUUUCUUCUACUGAACAAACACAGGAAUGUCUCUGUUGCUUCAUUACUUCUACGUUUGCAUUUCUGGAUUACUCUGUGGAGAAACCAGGCCAUGGUGUGCUUCUUCAUUAAUGAGAUUCACAAGCAGGCUGCAUGCCAUGUCUGUGUUGUUAAGAAGAGAAAUGGGAAGUAUUCACAGAUUAACUGCAGGGAGGUCAAUAAACAGACAUCGUACCAGGAAACAAGUGGAGAACGUGAUAGUCACACCUGCUGCAUUGGAUCUGUCACACAGCACUUUGAAGAUUUGAACUGCACCAUAUUAUGGGAAUCGUUUGGAGUCAUAAAAGAAGGAGUCGGUGUUGCAAGAGGAGUGCUGGCAUAAGAAGCUGAGAGAUCCUCCAUUAACAGAAGAGGUACAAAGAAGGCAGUCAUGACACAAGCUUGCCUCUGCUUAUGAUUAUACUCAUGUUUCCU